UCUGAAUCUGCGAACGGCUCCGCAAACCAGUUGUAAACCAUAGCAAGCAUGCCCUGGGUCUGCCGCAAGGUGGGUCCGGGGCUACAGGGAUAACCCUGGUAAUUCUGAGGCUAAUACAUGAACGUAACCCCUGGUCGAAGGGCAACCGGAGGCCGGGGACCGUGCGAGUGGGCGCAAGGAUUAUUGGGAAUAGUCGCACAGUAGGACCAUCAUAUCAAACGGUAUCUGCCCAUACUCCCUCACGGGAGUCGGUGGUGUCCGGGUGGCUCUUGCAAGGUGCUUCUGACCUAUCAACUAAAUGGCAGCGUAAUGGACAUGCUAUGGU
This 325-nucleotide ribosomal RNA is filed under the name Physarum pseudonotabile. Its description in RNAcentral is "bacterial SSU rRNA". It matches the Rfam family "Eukaryotic small subunit ribosomal RNA", at positions 80 to 350 of the family's 1831-position model. The record is from RNAcentral. Lineage: Eukaryota; Evosea; Eumycetozoa; Physariida; Physaraceae.